UACAGAGGGUGCAAGCGUUGUUCGGAAUUAUUGGGCGUAAAGGGCGCGUAGGCGGUGCCACAAGUCACCUGUGAAAUCUCCGGGCUUAACUCGGGAACUGCGUCCGAUACUGGCAGGCUUGAAUCCGGGAGAGGGAUGCGGAAUUCCAGGUGUAGCGGUGAAAUGCGUAGAUAUCAGGAGGAACACCGAUGGCGAAGGCAGGUCUCUGGGCUGACACUGACGCUCAUGCACGAAAGCGUGGGGAGCAAACAGG
This 253-nucleotide ribosomal RNA is filed under the name uncultured bacterium. RNAcentral's name for it is "partial 16S ribosomal RNA". It matches the Rfam family "Bacterial small subunit ribosomal RNA", at positions 524 to 776 of the family's 1533-position model. The record is from RNAcentral.